This 253-nucleotide ribosomal RNA is filed under the name uncultured bacterium. RNAcentral's name for it is "partial 16S ribosomal RNA". It matches the Rfam family "Bacterial small subunit ribosomal RNA", at positions 524 to 776 of the family's 1533-position model. The record is from RNAcentral.
UACGUAGGGGGCGAGCGUUGUCCGGAGUUACUGGGCGUAAAGCGCUUGUAGGCGGUCCAUCAAGUUUGGGGUGACAGUUGCCGACUUAAUCGGCAAAGUGCCUCAAAGACUGGCGGACUUGAGGGCCACAGAGGGACAUGGAACUCCAGGUGUAGUGGUGAAAUGCGUAGAUAUCUGGAAGAACACCAAAGGCGAAGGCAGUGUCCUGGGUGGUCGCUGACGCUGAAAGGCGAAAGCCAGGGGAGCGAACGGG